UAGGGAAUCUUCGGCAAUGGACGAAAGUCUGACCGAGCAACGCCGCGUGAGUGAAGAAGGUUUUCGGAUCGUAAAACUCUGUUGUUAGAGAAGAACAAGGACGUUAGUAACUGAACGUCCCCUGACGGUAUCUAACCAGAAAGCCACGGCUAACUACGUGCCAGCAGCCGCGGUAAUACGUAGGUGGCAAGCGUUGUCCGGAUUUAUUGGGCGUAAAGCGAGCGCAGGCGGUUUCUUAAGUCUGAUGUGAAAGCCCCCGGCUCAACCGGGGAGGGUCAUUGGAAACUGGGAGACUGGAGUGCAGAAGAGGAGAGUGGAAGUCCAUGUGUAGCGGUGAAAUGCGUAGAUAUAUGGAGGAACACCGGUGGCGAAGGCGGCUCUCUGGUCUGUAACUGACGCUGAGGCUCGAAAGCGUGGGGAGCAAACAGG
Molecule: ribosomal RNA, 429 nt
Filed under: Gemmatimonadota bacterium
Lineage: Bacteria; Pseudomonadati; Gemmatimonadota
Description: Gemmatimonadetes bacterium partial 16S ribosomal RNA
Rfam family: Bacterial small subunit ribosomal RNA
Source: RNAcentral